UACGGAGGGUGCGAGCGUUGUUCGGAAUUAUUGGGCGUAAAGAGCAUGUAGGCGGUCUGUUAAGUCUGGUGUGAAAGCCCGGGGCUCAACCCCGGAAGUGCAUUGGAUACUGGCAGACUUGAGUAUGGGAGAGGAAAGCGGAAUUCCGAGUGUAGGAGUGAAAUCCGUAGAUAUUCGGAGGGACACCAGUGGCGAAGGCGGCUUUCUGGACCAAUACUGACGCUGAGAUGCGAAAGCGUGGGGCGCAAACAGGAUUAGAAACCCCAGUAGUCC
RNAcentral lists this ribosomal RNA (273 nucleotides) under uncultured bacterium. Its description in RNAcentral is "partial 16S ribosomal RNA". It matches the Rfam family "Bacterial small subunit ribosomal RNA", at positions 524 to 796 of the family's 1533-position model. The record is from RNAcentral.